AAUAGAUACCCUGGUAGUCCACGCCGUAAACGAUGUCGACUUGGAGGUUGUUCCCUUGAGGAGUGGCUUCCGGAGCUAACGCGUUAAGUCGACCGCCUGGGGAGUACGGCCGCAAGGUUAAAACUCAAAUGAAUUGACGGGGGCCCGCACAAGCGGUGGAGCAUGUGGUUUAAUUCGAUGCAACGCGAAGAACCUUACCUACUCUUGACAUUCAGAGAACUUAGCAGAGAUGCUUUGGUGCCUUCGGGAACUCUGAGACAGGUGCUGCAUGGCUGUCGUCAGCUCGUGUUGUGAAAUGUUGGGUUAAGUCCCGCAACGAGCGCAACCCUUAUCCUUUGUUGCCAGCGGUCCGGCCGGGAACUCAAAGGAGACUGCCAGUGAUAAACUGGAGGAAGGUGGGGAUGACGUCAAGUCAUCAUGGCCCUUACGAGUAGGGCUACACACGUGCUACAAUGGCGCAUACAAAGAGAAGCGACCUCGCGAGAGCAAGCGGACCUCAUAAAGUGCGUCGUAGUCCGGAUUGGAGUCUGA
RNAcentral lists this ribosomal RNA (531 nucleotides) under uncultured bacterium. RNAcentral describes it as "bacterial SSU rRNA". It matches the Rfam family "Bacterial small subunit ribosomal RNA", at positions 777 to 1308 of the family's 1533-position model. The record is from RNAcentral.